AACGAACGCUGGCGGCAUGCCUAACACAUGCAAGUCGAACGAGACCUUCGGGUCUAGUGGCGCACGGGUGCGUAACGCGUGGGAAUCUGCCCUGGGGUGCGGAGUAACUCGGAGAAAUCCGUGCUAAUACCGCAUAAUGUCUUCGGACCAAAGAUUUAUCGCCCUGGGAUGAGCCCGCGUAGGAUUAGCUAGUUGGUGGGGUAAAGGCCUACCAAGGCGACGAUCCUUAGCUGGUCUGAGAGGAUGAUCAGCCACACUGGGACUGAGACACGGCCCAGACUCCUACGGGAGGCAGCAGUGGGGAAUAUUGGACAAUGGGCGAAAGCCUGAUCCAGCAAUGCCGCGUGAGUGAUGAAGGCCCUAGGGUGUAAAGCUCUUUACCCGGGAUGAUAAUGACAGUACCGGGAGAAUAAGCUCCGGCUAACUCCGUGCCAGCAGCCGCGGUAAU
Molecule: ribosomal RNA, 448 nt
Filed under: uncultured bacterium
Lineage: Bacteria
Description: bacterial SSU rRNA
Rfam family: Bacterial small subunit ribosomal RNA
Source: RNAcentral